AUAGUACACCAAGUGAGAACACUAGAACAGUACACCA
This 37-nucleotide small RNA is filed under the name Arabidopsis thaliana (thale cress). Its description in RNAcentral is "ATSL135430". The record is from RNAcentral. Lineage: Eukaryota; Viridiplantae; Streptophyta; Magnoliopsida; Brassicales; Brassicaceae.